AUUGAACGCUGGCGGCAGGCCUAACACAUGCAAGUCGAGCGGAUGAAGGGAGCUUGCUCCUGGAUUCAGCGGCGGACGGGUGAGUAAUGCCUAGGAAUCUGCCUGGUAGUGGGGGAUAACGUCCUGAAACGGGCGCUAAUACCGCAUACGUCCUGAGGGAGAAAGUGGGGGAUCUUCGGACCUCACGCUAUCAGAUGAGCCUAGGUCGGAUUAGCUAGUUGGUGGGGUAAAGGCCUACCAAGGCGACGAUCCGUAACUGGUCUGAGAGGAUGAUCAGUCACACGGGAACUGAGACACGGUCCAGACUCCUACGGGAGGCAGCAGUGGGGAAUAUUGGACAAUGGGCGAAAGCCUGAUCCAGCCAUGCCGCGUGUGUGAAGAAGGUCUUCGGAUUGUAAAGCACUUUAAGUUGGGAGGAAGGGCAGUAAGUUAAUACCUUGCUGUUUUGACGUUACCAACAGAAUAAGCACCGGCUAACUUCGUG
RNAcentral lists this ribosomal RNA (484 nucleotides) under uncultured bacterium. RNAcentral's name for it is "partial 16S ribosomal RNA". It matches the Rfam family "Bacterial small subunit ribosomal RNA", at positions 30 to 507 of the family's 1533-position model. The record is from RNAcentral.